AUGAUGCCAGGCAACAAAAAGAACAAAGUUAAGAGCAUCGACAAUGUGAUUAAAAGGUUAGGCAAGGUGACAGGGGCCAUAAAGAAGGGCACCGGUGCAGCAGCUUCCACACAGGUGGGCAGGGCCAAACCUGCUCAGCGAGCCACGGUGGAUAGUACCCAGGGUAGACGAUGUGGUCGUACCACUGUAUCCCGUGUUGCUAGCCCUAUCCCCUCCGCCGAUUCUGAGGACGAGUCAGAGGAGGAUGCAGAGGAGGAGCCAGUUGUGGAGGUGGAGCAGACGAGGUCUCGUCGUGAUUGGCAGCAUGUGGAAGGGUCAUCACGUGGUGCGACUCAGGAGGAGGAGGAGGAGGAGGAGGAGGAGGGGGAGGAGUUGGAGGAGGGAGAGUAUGAGGUGGAGGUAUCGGCAAAGGACAUGGAAUGGCCGGUUCCUAAGGAGACCAAAAUAUGGUUGCGUGGGGUGUCCACGCUCCCUUCGCGACCAUAUCCACAUAAGGGGCUCAUUGUCAAACCAGUCAGUGUGAGGGCCUUGCUGGUUGUAGGAGAAGACAUAAAGGUGCCACGCCAGCCAAGUAGCAUCAUUGGAUGUCUUUGCAGGCACUAUUACCCUGGCCUGGUCCCCAUAGGAGAUGGUGAGGAGGAGCCAGCUUGGUCUUGGGAGCAUUGGAAACGCGCUCCAGAUACUAAAGACAAGUGGGACAGGGAGUACAACAAUGCUGCUGACCGGGACUUCUUUACUUGUGCCAAGGGUAUGAAGGAUGAAGCUAAUGAGGUCGUGGAGGCGAUUGCCAAGAAGAUUGUCCAAGACAUGCACUAUGAGGGGCGCGUCGAUGCCGUGGUGAAGUAUUUCGCGCAUGAACGCAACAUGCUUCUCAAAAAGCAACUAGCCCGGAGAGUCCAUCUCACCCGUUCGAUGUACAUGAAGGCAGUUCCCCCGUGGUGCAACAACAAGAUUCCUUGCUAUCAGCAAAUCAUAUCCAGGUGGAUAAACCCGGAGUGGAGGGUCACACAUAGAGCGUGUUCGGAGCGGCGUGCCUUGAUGGGUGGUCCGGUACACCUUCAAGGCAACCUCAACCUCCACGCUUACGUGCAGAAGAAGAAUAGGGAGAGAGGCGAGGGAGAACAACCUCUCAAUAGCUUCAUGGGAUUAUGUCUUUCCCGCACGUCAAAGAAACCUGAAGGGGGGUGGGUCAACCCUGGCGCUGGUUCGAGGAUUAAAGCAUAUAGUGGGAAGUUCAAGGAGUGCAACGGGCCCGACUCUGAUCCGGCCUCACAGGACAUUGACGUCAUGGUUUCCCUCAUGUCGGGAGAAGGCAGGAAGGGUGGCCGGUUAUAUGUUGGUGAUGGUGCCAUCCGUAAGAAGGACAUUCCAAAACUCGCCCACCUCCGUGCUACGACCUCGAGCUCAGGUCCUGCUAUAGAGUGUCGCCCACAUCCUGGGUUGGGCAUGCUACAUCAAUUCGAGGCACGCCUAGAGGAACAAAACAAGUUGCGCAGGAAGAAACCAAGUUGCGGCAGGAGGCUUAGGCCAAUGCCCAACUUCGACAGGACCAAGCCAUGA
RNAcentral lists this ribosomal RNA (1560 nucleotides) under Triticum aestivum (bread wheat). Its description in RNAcentral is "partial small subunit ribosomal RNA". The record is from RNAcentral. Lineage: Eukaryota; Viridiplantae; Streptophyta; Magnoliopsida; Poales; Poaceae.